GCUUAAGAUAUCAAAUCAAAACUAAAAGGAAAGUCUCGAAAAAUAAGCAAGGCGUACCGACCCAAAACUGAAGAAGCAGAAACACUCAACAAAGUUCAUCAAAAACUAAUAACCUGAAAUAUACAGAACUAAAAGGAG
This is a long non-coding RNA of Populus euphratica (Euphrates poplar), 138 nucleotides long. RefSeq lists it as uncharacterized. NCBI's taxonomy places the organism in Eukaryota, Viridiplantae, Streptophyta, Magnoliopsida, Malpighiales, Salicaceae. The record is from RefSeq and is a predicted model, not a curated record. The transcript has 3 exons.